RNAcentral lists this long non-coding RNA (7010 nucleotides) under Homo sapiens (human). RNAcentral describes it as "HSALNT0157991". The record is from RNAcentral. Lineage: Eukaryota; Metazoa; Chordata; Mammalia; Primates; Hominidae.
UGAACUCUUUGAAAAAACCCAAUGAGGAUUGAAAAAUUGACACACCUGAAAGCUAGUGUUUGGGAAGACAACAACCCAGGGCUGUUCUGUUUCUGACUCAAGAUAUUGGAGCAAGCUAUGCCUCUCCAUGGAGAUGAGGAAGCCUGCAGCCCCCGAAGGUCACGGAUGCUGUUGGAGCCACGAGGAAGAGCCAUCAGCCCAGGGAGACCCUGAGGGUCAGGGCAUCUCCAUGGAUGAACUCCGUGUACUGCUGGACUCAUCCAACCCUUCGUGGACAUCACUUUGUAGUGAAAAUCCCUUUUGUUGUUGAAGAAAGCCUGAGUUGGGUGAUUUAUUACUCAUAAAGUAUGUUAAUACCUUGAUGCUAAUAUUCUCAUGAGAGAAUUAUACUCUAGUCUUAUGAUAGCACUAAAAGUAACUUAAAGGCCCCACGCUUCUCCAGAUAAAACCAACACUUGUGAAACCCUUGCUUUGCCGUUUACUAUCUAUGUUCCUGGACAAACUAUUAAAUGUGCCGAGUCUACACCUCCACCUCAGUUUAGGAUCAAUAAUCUAUAUCUUUUCUUUUUCAGUUUCAAUACAUAAAAAUAAGUGCCAUGAGUAGUUCUUGUAACUGAAUAGGCACUUAAAAGUGAAAUUAGGCUCUUCAUUUCUCCUGCUUUCUUAUCGUACAUCUUUAUGAUACUUUAAUUUGAGCUACAACCCCUGAGAUCUUCUUGAGAGUUAAUCACUGCUGAGAGACAAUACAGAGACAGGACAAUAGACAGAUCGCAUGUGACGACAGAGCUCUGACCCACAACCUCUGCAGCAAUUGCUCCCCAACAAUGGGGACUUAGUGAAUAACUGCUACCUGCCCUAUUUAUGCCCCCAACUCAGGAACAGCAGGUCAAUCCAAUAUGCUUCUCUAAUACCCACAUAGUUCUCAUUCUUUUAUUUUUAAUGUUUAUUUUGAUCUACAAUUAAAAUAACAGCUAACAAUCAUAGGUAUGCAUCCUUCAAUGCUUCCAACUUAUAAUCAUUCUUGUAUUAAGAAUUUUACUCUUUCAUUUUCCUGUGGUUGUUUUUUUCCCCUCAGGUUCUGCAAACACAUUUGUUGCCUAAAAUUGCACCUCUGAGAAAUUCCAGCACACUGGCAUAGUGUUCUGGACUCUCGCUGUGGUAUUACUGCCAGCACUAUGCUUCCUUAUUAAAAAAUGUAGAGGCUCACUUGCAGCAAGCUUGAUAGCAGGAUGAUAAAAUGGCAGGGUAUUUUUAAACACAGAUUUUAUGAGAUGUAUUACAUGGAAUUAAAUUUAGACCAUAUAUCAAGGAAAUCACCAUAGAGCUUUGAGCGUGAUUCAGAUCAUCCUGGCAUUAGUUGGACCACUCUGUUGGCUCAACAAUGUCAUUGCCUGAGUGGGAAAUAAAUGGCCAAGUCUAUGGGGGCACUAUCGGGUUGGCUUGCUGGUCACAGCAUCCUCCCCCCACAAGAUGUCUCAUCUGGAAGGGUAUGUAGGGCAGCAAUUGGUGGAAAUACACAGCAGAAGAAGAUUGUGACUCUUUCUCCAACACACCCCCUCCUCCUCAGUACACAACCUCUGCUCCCAAUGAUGGUACAAACAUCAGGGAUUUGACAGUACACACUCAAGAAACUGUUUUUUGGUGGUGUGUUUGUUUUUCUUUUUUCUUUUUUAGUUUGUUUUUGGUAGGAUCUAUCUAAAUGUAAGGUUAUUUUGAUGGUUAAUAUUGAAUGUCAACUUGAUUGAAGGAUGCAAAGUAUUGUUCCUGGAUGUGUCUGUGAGGGUGUUACUGAAGGAGAUUAACAUUUGAGUCGGUGAACUGGGAGAGGCAGACCCACCCUCAGUCUGGGUGGGCACCAUCUAAUCAGCUGCUAGGGCUGCUACAAUAAAAGCAGGCAGAAGAACAUGAAGGACUAGACCAGUUGAUUCUUCUGGCCUCCAUCUUUCUCCCAUGCUGGUUGCUUCCUGCCCUUGAGUAUUAAACUCCAAGUUCUUCACCUUUGGGACUCUUGGACAUUUGACCACACACUGAAGGCUGCACCGUCGGCUUCCCAACUUUUGAGGUUUUGGGACUUGGACCGGCUUUCUUGCUUCUUUGCUUGCAGACAGCCUAUUGUAAGACUUCACCUUGUGAUCGUGUGAGUCAGAACUCCUUAAUGAACUCUUCCUCAUGUAUACAGCUAUCCUAUUAGUUCUGUGCCUCCAGAGAACCCUGACUAAUACAGUUACACUCCCGGUCCGCAUUUGGGAUUCUGUAUGUAAACCUCAGAAUAAAUUCAACAAAAUUUGUCGAAUUUUCCCUUUGGUGACUUCACAUCUUUGCAAAGAGGGGGUUUUGGUGGUUGCUGUGAUAAAACUAUGUAUAACAAAAUCAAUGUGCAUCAAGAAAUAAGGAUCAAGAAGUCAUGCAAUGCCCACAGGUGAACAUCUCCCAUUAUUGAAUAAUUACAACUACUUAACAAUAAAACUGAAUAUUAGUUUUCUUUCAACCUAUGUUAUGUGUAUGAUUUUUUCAAGGAUGCCCUAAGUGGUUAGGAUAGAAAUACUUAAAUUUUUUUUGGACUUAGCGACUUAAUAAAUGUAAGCAGUCAUAUAGUUAUUUUGGAGCACUGUGGAAAUAUUGCUGCAAUAGUAAAGCCACUGCGGGAACUAAAAAAGCUUGUGAAUCUGUCCCUAUUUAAUUAGACCAGGAAUUUGGGCUUAAGACAUUGGUGACUCUUCUGACCAGCAUCUACAGAGGGUCAGCUAUGAGAUCCCAGUCCACCGAGGAAGCAGGCUGGUAAAACCAAUCCACCACUCUCAAUGGGAUAGUCAGUGUGAAACACAGAAGACCCAGUAGUAGAAUGGCUCUGGCUAGACAGGAGUCAAAAAUCAUGGUGGAGAAACUAGGAGGCUGUGUAUGUUUGGAUUGAAACCCUGCAUACCUGACACCUUCAGGUCUGAGUGCCACCAAGAGGGAGCUGGCCACUCCACCCUGGAACGGGCCAGUCAGAAGAGGUGAAGACACUGAGGAAAGCUGACUCCUUGAAGCAGCCCACUCAGGUUGCUUCGUUAGAACUGUCUUUUAGUCUGAGUGCAAAUGAGCAAUGCCCCAGUUCCAGCCCUUGAAAAUGUUUUCUUAUGUUUCUUUCUAAGUCUUAGCAUCCUUAUUCUACCUUCCCCAACAGGCACAUCUGCUGUAGUCUGUGUGAUUUUUACCUUUGCAUUCAAAAGAGAAUAAUUGGCUUAUUAGCAUCUGUUAUGUGCUGUUUGUCUCAUUAUUUGUUUUAUGUGUACUUUUAAUUACCCAAAUAUUACUUUAUGUUGGCCAGUAGCCCUAUUUUAUAGAAAAUUCACAAUAGAAGGCACAUACAAGGUUUCCUUUAUUGCAUAAGAUGAUAACAUAUGGCAGGUUGUAUAUUUUUUGAACCAUGCAAAUUCUGUCUCCUUAUUUUAAACAUAAGAAAGAAAUGAAUUCUAUUAAAAGUAAAAUGAGAAAGCCAAGAUCAUAUAUAGUGAGCCAUAUCAUCAUAAUUUAGGCUUACUCUUUUGAUGGUGAACACUGAUGUUCCAUUCUACCGUGAGGGUAAAAAUGCUGACUGAGUUAUCCCAAUUGGAGCCUGCAUAAUUUUCAGCAACUCCAGCUCCUUGACAAAAUGUAACUCAUCAUGUAUGUUAGUUUAGUAUUUAUUCCAUGUGUCUUAACAGCCCAAUAAGACUUCAUGCUAUAAAUUACCUUUUUAGUUGUAAAACAAAUCAAGAUAUUCAUCAUAAGAGAUAUUUUCUCAGCAUGGUUCCUGAAGGGUUAACUGCUAAACUAUGUCUUCAGACCCAAGGAGAUGUACCAAAGAAAGUAUCAGCUAAGUAGCCUGUAUUUUAUACAUUUAUCAACUUUUAAUGAUUCUCUGUUAUUUAAAAAAUAUGUAUUUUAGAAAAUAUCAGUUUCAAGGGUAGUGAAAUGACCACUGAUGUCGUCAUCCAGAUCUUUUGGCCAGGUUACUUAUCAUCGGCUUCAUUUGGUCUUUAUGGAGUCUCUGUAUCCUUAAGGGAGGUUAUUUUUCUUUAGAAAAUUCAUUGUCUGCUUGUAGAAUGCAUGAUCUGUUUUAUUGUUGAAGCCAGGUAUUCACGGACCCGACAUCAUUAGUGAUUAAUGAUAGUCAGCUCUGAGAACGCUGGUUUUACUUAUUUGGUUCUUAUGCUGUUUGUGUAAUUCCAAUUGUGUGUCCUGAGGGAGUGGGAUGUGAAGUCUGUCUGGACACUUAUGAAGACAUAAAUAGAUACAUAUGUUCCUGCAGAAAGGUUUUCAUUUAUGUUGGCUUAGGUAUAUAUAUACACACAUAUAUAUAUAUACAUAUAUAUAUAUAUAUAUAUAUAUACACACACAUAUAUAUAUAUAUAUACAUAUAUAUAUAUAAGACAUCCAUCUACUAUCUCAUCUAUUCACAGGAAUAUUCUGUAAUAUAUCUUUCUCACAUAGGCAGCUGCACUUAUGUGUUUUCAUUCUGUGAAUAUAUUGCUUAAUUCUUUAAGAUGUCACAGGUUUUUGCAUUGUCAGAAUACUACAAGACUCAUGCAAUUUACAUCACAUCUAAGAAACGCAUUUUCCAACAUGCACUCGAGAUGAAUUUGUAGCUCAGCUUGUGGCAGUGUACACACUAAUCAUGCCCCUCCUCUUCAGGUCAGUUCCGCAUGGUGCAGAGGGUCACUACUUAUAGUAUGUUACCAUAGGUUUGUCACAUUUUCUCCUUUAUUGAUUUAUUUAUUUUACUUCUGAAAAGACUAGCCUAAAAUGAAAACUUGCUGAUAAUUUAAAUAUAGUACGUGCUGGAUGGUCACUUAGGAGGAUAGUAGCUUUUCAAGCAAAACAUUUAUAUUAAUUUACAGUUUCAAUGACAUGAUUUAUUUGAAAAGCAUCUGUAGAAUGCCUUCUUUGUGCAAAGCAGCAUGGAAGUGUGGCUUAGAAAAGGAACAAAACCUAAAACUUGCUCUCAAGAGCUAUUAUAAUUCAUUGGGAAAAUUUACAGAUUUUAAGUAUAUAUGUAUAUAUAUAUACACCCUCUCCCACACAUACAUAUAGUAUAUAUACUGCACUAGUAUAGUCUUUUUUUUUUUUAAGUUUUAGGGUACAUGUGCACAAUGUGCAGGUUAGUUGCAUAUGUAUACAUGUGCCAUGUUGGUGUGCUGCACCCAUUAACUCAUCAUUUAGCAUUAGGUAUAUCUCCUAAUGCUAUCCCUCCCCCCUCCCACCACCCCACAACCGUCCCCGGUGCAUGAUGUUCCCCUUCCUGUGUCCAUGUGUUCUCAUUGUUCAAUUCCCACCUAUGAGUGAGAACAUGCGGUGUUUGGUUUUUUGUCCUUGUGAUAGUUUGCUGAGAAUGAUGGUUUCCAGCUUCAUCCAUGUCCCUACAAAGGACAUGAACUCAUGAUUUUUUAUGGCUGAAUAGUAUUCCUUGUUGUAUAUGUGCCACAUUUUCUUAAUCCAGACUAUCAUUGUUGGACAUUUGGGUUGGUUCCAAGUCUUUGUUAUUGUAAAUAGUGCCACAAUAAACAUACGUGUGCAUAUGUCCUUAUAGCAGCAUGAUUUAUAAUCUUUUGGGUAUAUAUCCAGUAAUGGGAUGGCUGGAUCAAAUGGUAUUUCUACUUCUAGAUCCCUGAGGAAUCGCCACACUGACUUCCACAAUGGUUGAACUAGUUUACAGUCCCACCAACAGUGUAAAAGUGUUCCUAUUUCUCCACAUCCUCUCUAGCCCCUGUUGUUUCCUGACUUUUCAAUGAUCGCCAUUCUAACUGGUGUGAGAUGGUAUCUCAUUGUCGUUUUGAUUUCCAUUUCACUGAUGGCCAGUGAUGAUGAGCAUUUUUUCAUGCGUUUUUUGGCUGCAUAAAUGUCUUCUUUUGAGAAGUGUCUGUUCAUAUCCUCCGCCCACUUUUUGAUGGGGAUGUUUGUUUUUUUCUUGUAAAUUUGUUUGAGUUCAUUGUAGAUUCUGGAUAUUAGCCCUUUGUCAGAUGAGUAGGUUGCAAAAAUUUUCUCCCAUUCUGUAGGUUGCCUGUUCACUCUGAUGGUUUCUUUUGCUGUGCAGAAGCUCUUUAGUUUAAUUAGAUCCCAUUUGUCAAUUUUGGCUUUUAUUGCCAUGCUUUUGGUGUUUAAGACAUGAAGUCCCUGCCCAUGCCUAUGUCCUGAAUGGCAUUGCCUAGGUUUUCUUCUAGGGUUUUUAUGGUUUUAGGUCUAACAUGUAAGUCUUUAAUCCAUCUUGAAUUAAUUUUUGUGUAAGGUGUAAGGAAGGGAUCCAGUUUCAGCUUUCUACAUAUGGCUAGCCAGUUUUCCCAGCACCUUAUGCUAUGAUAAGGAUGUUGAUUUUAAAAGUGGAUAGUAUUUUUUAUAGUUUUUAAGACUAUAUUAGUGUAGUAUAUAGUCUUAAAAAACUAUAAAAAAUACUAUCCACUUUUAAAAACACCAUCCUUAUCAUAGCAUAAGUAUUUGAACAUUUCUUCAUAAUCAUUAUCUUGAAUAAGAGCAUAACUUAUUUUUCCAGAGGGUCUUUUCAAUUUCUUCUUUUUCUUACUCUUAUUCAUAUUGAUAAUUUAUAUCAUUUCGUACUUUUACAUAGCUUGUUUUCAAAAACAUAGUCUUGCAUGAAGUUUUCUCUUUCUCUCUUCCCUUCCCUCCUUCCUUCCCUCCCUCCCUGUCUCUCUUUCUUUUUUUCUUUUUCUUUCUUUCUUCCUUUCCCUCUUUCUCUCUUUCUUUCUUUCUUUGUCUCUCUCUCUCUCUCUUUCUUUCUUUCUUCCUUUUUUUUUAAAAGUGUCUCUCUCUGUUACCCAGGCUGGAGUGCAGCAGCAGGAUCAUAGCUGACUGUAUUCUUGACCUCCCCAGGCUCAGUUGAUCCUCCCAUCUCAGCCUCACAAAUAGUUGGAUCUACAGUUAUGUUCACCACUUCUGGCUAAUUAUUCUUUUUUUUUUUUUUUUUUUUUUUUUUUUUUUUUUUUUUUUUUUUGUAGAGACGAGGUCUCACCAUGUUGCCCCAAGCUGGUCUUGAA